Molecule: ribosomal RNA, 658 nt
Filed under: uncultured archaeon
Lineage: Archaea
Description: bacterial SSU rRNA
Rfam family: Archaeal small subunit ribosomal RNA
Source: RNAcentral
CACACAGCUCAGUAACACGUGGCUAAUCUGCCCUUGGGACUAGAACAACCCCGGGAAACUGGGGCUAACUCUAGAUAGGUGAAGAACUCUGGAAUGAGUCUUUGCCUAAAUAGGUUCACGUUAUCCUCGUGAACUUGCCCAAGGAUGAGGCCGCGACCGAUCAGGUUGUUGGCGAGGUAAUGGCUCACCAAGCCUUUUACCGGUGCGGGCCGUGGGAGCGGGAGCCCGGAGAUGGGUACUGAGACAAGGACCCAGGCCCUACGGGGCGCAGCAGUCGCGAAACCUUUGCAAUACACGAAAGUGUGACAGGGCUAUCCCGAGUGCCAUCCGCUGAGGAAGGCUUUUACCCAGUCUAGAAAGCUGGGGGAAUAAGGAGAGGGCAAGUCUGGUGUCAGCCGCCGCGGUAAUACCAGCUCUUCGAGUGGUGUGGAUGUUUAUUGGGCCUAAAGCAUCCGUAGCUGGCUAGGUUAGUCCCCUGUUAAAUCCACCGAAUUAAUCGUUGGAUUGCGGGGGAUACUGCUUGGCUAGGGGACGAGAGAGGCAGACGGUAUUUUCGGGGUAGGGGUGAAAUCCUAUAAUCCCGGGAAGACCACCAGUGGCGAAGGCUGUCUGCUAGAACGCGCCCGACGGUGAGGGAUGAAAGCUGGGGGAGCGAACC